GAAAAAUAAGCAAAACAAACCACAAUAAUGGUGGUACCGUUCCUAAAAUCCAGAAGUCACCUCUUUCUUUUUACUUCAAAUUUCACUUGAGUUUUGCUGGUCUUUGCUGAAAUUUCACCUGAGUUUUGCUGGUCUUUGCUGCGUGUGAUUGUAACUUGACAUAUUCUUGGACUUUCCUUCCCUUCAAGGCUUUGAUUCCAAAUCUGUUGGUGGUGGUGCUUGUUAUUGUUGUUGAAAGUGUCUCCAAAACUAUUCUUUUGAAGGCUCUCUGUUGAUUUCUUUUGUAAGAUAAUGGCGCCUAAUAAACAAUGGAUGGAACUCAUUAAAGAUAGACUUUCUAUUGCUUAUAUAGAUGGGGUGGAGACUUUCUUGGAUUAUGCUUUUACAAAACUAGGAGAACCGCAGUUGAUACGUUGUCCAUGUAUUAAAUGUGGUAAUGCAACUUCUAGAACACGUGUUGUAGUUAGGUCACAUUUAAUAGUACAUGGGAUAAUACCAAGUUAUACUCUUUGGUAUCACCAUGGGGAGAUGUCAGGUGAAGAACAAUCAAAUUUUGAAAAAAUAGAUGAUAAUGAAAUUGAAGAGGAUGAUGGUGAGGAUGAAAUAGAUGGUUUGCUGAGAGAUUUGUACCCCGAUUUUAAUGGAGAUAAUAUGAAUAAUAGUGGUGAUGAUUUGAUGGAGGAGGAACCAAAUGAUGAAGCAAAAAGAUUUUAUAGGCUAUUGAAAGAUAUUGAUCUACCAUUAUAUGAAAGUGCAAAAGUUUCUAAGCUUUCUACUUUGGUUAAAUUGCUUCACCUUAAAAGUAUUGGUCAUUGGAGUAAUGAGUAAUUUACAAUGUUGUUGAAGUUUUUGAAAGAUGAUUUAUUGUUGGAUGGAACAAACUUGCCGGAUUCAUAUUAUGAGGCAAAGAAGGUAAUUCGAGAUCUUGGGCUUUCAUGUAAGAAGAUUGAUGCAUGUAAGAAUGAUUGCAUGUUAUAUUGGAAGGAUGAUAAUUGUCUUCAAUCUUGCAAAGUUUGUGGUGCAUCUAGAUGGAAGGAUGAUAAACAUAGUGGGGAACAAAAUUGAAA
Molecule: long non-coding RNA, 1067 nt
Organism: Solanum tuberosum (potato)
Lineage: Eukaryota; Viridiplantae; Streptophyta; Magnoliopsida; Solanales; Solanaceae
Exons: 4
Source: RefSeq, a predicted model, not a curated record